AAUAAAAUAACGUUACGAUGGAUUCAGGUGUAGUGCUUGUAUAGUGCGCGGUCGGCUGUAUUAGUAACGUACGUCUUUUGUUUUCCGUUGUCUUGUACCGUAUGGUGUUCCACUAAUGUUACAAUGUUCAUGUCUAUAUAUAUAUAUAUAUAAUUGUAUUUGUUUUGAAACGUGUGUUAUAAAGGCGAGUGAGAAAUGCGCAUGGCCAUGAUUUGAUUAGUCUGUUGCGACGUAGUGCGCAGUUUCCAGCGUUGUUUCCAACGUUACCCGGAAACAAGCAAGGCAUUUGCUCUCAGCUGCUUCCUUAUAAAAACACGUCUGGGGGAUGUGGGCCUCAUUUUCCUUCGGAGCCAGAGCAGCAGGGUGGGAUGGAGAGGUGUAUGCUGGAUGCUUGCUGCAGGAGGAUGUUGCGCACUUCAGUUUACCUCAGGACCGACAGGAGGACUGGCACAUCCAUCGGUUGUUCUUUGGCCUGACAUCUCCUGACAUCCAAACAUCAAACCCACUGCAGUCGGUUGACCGAUUGAUUUGCUGACUGCUUCAGUGGCACAAGAUAAAGCAGGUAUUGCAUUCAACUCCUUGAGAAAGCUUCAUCAGUCAGAUUUGUAUACAAAUGAAGAAUCAUCUGAUCAAGGCCAGAUCUGUGGUAGGAAGCGCCAGGAACUGAAAGAGGAAGUACACGCAGUAGUGAGUGUGAUUGUGACAGUCAAUCCCCUCACACUGUAUACGAUGUUUUCGUACAUAUAUAAACGCUUGCUCCACUCUGGAAGUCAAAAGUAGUAACAUUGAAUAAGGAACAGCAUGUAUUCUGCAUCAGAAAUCACUUUAGUAACCAACAUAUGGGCAUUACAAAAGCAUCACAUCACAACGUAAACAGAGCGCCAUGUAAAUAUUCCCUUUGGUGCAGAUUCAGAGGUAAAUAACAUCCCUCAUUAGACUGUUUUUUUUUAAUUAUAAGAGCCAAAAGACAAUCUGAGUGCUUAUGCAACUGAUACACAUGCUGGUGAUGUGCCUUUAAAAGCAGUGGCUUGUCAGGUGAUCGAGGAGGCUCAGUCAGCUCAGCCUCACAGACAGAGGAGCCGGUGCGUCUCUAGCCGAGAGCAGAGAAGAGUGCGCCAGAGAGAAGGGCAGCGAAGAGUGAGAGAGACCCAAUUAUAUGGGAGCAUGGUGGAAAUGGGGACACAGCAACGUCACAGAGUGGGGGACAGGGAGCCAUGGUGGUAGGGUUCCCUUUAACUGGAGUCUGCUCAUGCUCACUUGCCUUGUGUGGCAGCUAGCAAGUGUGUUUCAGCUUGAUCAAGAAGUUGCGUUGUGUAGCCACAACAGUUGUAUGAAAGCACAGAGAAUUAGGUGCUGCGUCACACUCGGGAAGAGGGAUGGAGUGAUCAUACGCGCAUGUGCAUUGGCACGCACAGCCGUAUGCAUUUGUGUGGGUUCUGCACUGUGUAUUUGUUAGCUUGCAGUAGCAGUGUAAUAGCAGUUCUGCCGUUGAAACAAGAUGAAAAUAAAGAGUGCGUGUGUUUCAGAGGCAGGCAGAAUAGGAGAGAGAGGGAGAUUCAGGGAGGGAGGGCGAACAAGUCGGAGAGUGAGAGAGAGAGGUUUUGGAUUAGUUGCUACGUCACUUUUUCAUGUCAGGAGAAACAGAAGCUGAGAUAACAAGCCCAGAGUCAUCGAAUUUUUUCACCUGAAGUCGACACAAUGGUUUCGGACAACCUCGUCUUUCACCUCCUCUUCCUCCUUGGGCGGUGACUCAAACUUGUUUUUGGGCACGAGCAUGAGCGUAACCCAUUCCAGAGAGCAUCACAGUUAUGGUCUCUGACAGUCUCCCAAGAUGCCGUCAAGAUUUCCUGGAACAUCAUUUUGGUCCACUCAAAAAUAAGAUUCAAGGGUUUUUUCCACCACAGAAGGAUGCCUUUUGUCAAGAGUACCCCCCUUGGAAGCUGGUUUCAGAUGGUGGCUUAGAGUAUUGUCAUCUAUCUAGCACCAUUUGAAAUCAGUGUUCUUGGGGUGGGAAGUGUAUUUCCCCUGCCAGCAACACGCAGCGGUGUCGUGUCACCAGGGGCGUCCGGAGAUAGACGUAUUCCUCCCUGAAGAACUACUCAGUGGGCUCCAGACCACCGGUCUAUGGGGGAUGUCCUGACAGCUCCAGCUCUUUGUCCUCUCUCCAAGGUUGACCGAUUUCUUUUGGUGUUCAGAGUCUGCUUUUGUUUCUAGCACCAUUUGAAAUCGGUUACAGUGAAGGACAGAUCAUCUCAUCAUACCUUGAGGAGGAUUUUACAAGUAAGCUGUACGCUUUAUUUUGUGGAUUGACUGUAGUGAAAAUUACAAAUUAAACACAAGUACUCUCA
This is a long non-coding RNA of Etheostoma spectabile (orangethroat darter), 2348 nucleotides long. RefSeq lists it as uncharacterized. The transcript has 7 exons. The record is from RefSeq and is a predicted model, not a curated record. Lineage: Eukaryota; Metazoa; Chordata; Actinopteri; Perciformes; Percidae.